Prinia subflava (tawny-flanked prinia) is the source of this 2923-nucleotide long non-coding RNA. RefSeq lists it as uncharacterized. NCBI's taxonomy places the organism in Eukaryota, Metazoa, Chordata, Aves, Passeriformes, Cisticolidae. The transcript has 2 exons. The record is from RefSeq and is a predicted model, not a curated record.
CAAACCAUUACAAAGAGUAAAGUUGAAAAAAUUAUAGAUAAAUUCUACUUGUGGAUAAAUACUCUGUAUUUCACAUGCACCAGUACCAAAUCUUUUCGCCUUCAGUAACCAGCAUCCAAAUAUCUGACAGUAGCUUUAUCUUAAUCCAGAAGCUUAAUCCAGAGGAUGAGGUCUAAUGCUACCUCAAGUCCACAUUGCCAGUGUUCAGUGUGACUCAGUUGUACCCUCUGUCCAAGCUCAGACGGCAAUGAAACUGGAAUUCAACAGGUUUGAAAGCAGCGGAAGGAAGGAACACCAGGCUGAGUUGAAGGGCAUUGCAUGGGAUGAUGAGCAAGAUAUAUAAAAUAACUAAGAAGUUUGUUACAGCCAGGCUUUGCCUUUAGUCUAACAAUCAGCUUUGCCCACAAAUGUAAAAACAUGUGAAAUACUGAAUCAAGGUGCAGAGGGUGAGCACACAAACAGUCAAAGAAAAGUCUUGCUUUUUUCCUAAAUUUUUUGAUCCUUGGCCUACUUAAAGUUAAUAAGGCACCACUUCACCACAGUUGUCUUCCUGGAACACUGGGAGGCAUCACAGGCUCAUUACAUUUUGGCUGAUCUUCAGUGAGCAAAAUUUCAUCCAGGAUUUCGUCUCCUCCUUGUGGCAGGUUUGCAUCAAGAUGGUGUCUGACCACCUUGCUAGGUGAGUAUGAGCAAUGAGGCUGAGAACUCAGGAACUCUGAGAAAUGUCUGCUGCUUUUGUCAAUAAAUUGCUUCUUGAAGUCCUGCUGAAUUUUUCAGUGACCUCUUGUUCCUCUGGUGCCUGAAAAACUUUCAAGCUUUUAAACUUUUUCUUCAGUAUUUUUUCCCUUCAGCUUUGCUUUGUAGCCUUCUCCUACACUGCCCUCAGUCUUGCUUUUCGAUCUUCUGAUUCUUUUUGUAACUGCAUCUGAUAGGCCUUCCCUCACUUAAACCUUCCAAAGAUCUUUUGAGAGGCUGAAUUUGAAGGAUUGCUAGGCAGAAACACAUCAUUUUCCCAUGAAUACAGUCUUGACCAGCAGUAAAGCUGUAACAGCCCAUAUUUUCCAGCCUGAUUGCAUAUGUAAUUAAAUAUUCAGUCUUACUUUCUGAGAGAAAAUGAUGGUGUUUAAUGAUGAUGACUCUAAAGAAUUCAAAGAGUUAUUUUGAUUGUAAUAUUUUCUAAUUGAUUCCCUUGGGAGGUGGAAAGACAUGAACUAGAUGUUCUAUCACAGCUUCAUCACUAUUUUGAGGUAGAUAAUAUGCAGCUUCAGAUGUACCACAGGUGUUCACUAUAAUUAAUACUUCCUUUUCAUUUUUUCUGCCAUUAAUAUAACUUUCCCACAGCCUAGUUAAGUGCUGUAGCCUGUAUUUAUUCUGUCACUGAUGAGUAAUUAAAAAAAAACCCUACAGCAAACCAAUGUAAUUUGUAUUUUCUAUAGCAUUAGAACAUACUGCUGAAUUCCAAAAUAUCUGUAUUUGUUUAUUAUGCGUUUAAGGCCUUUCCAGGUCCAGGAAUGCUAGGAUUAGCCCAUCUAGUAGGGAACAUUGCAAUUGUACAAGGACUGUUAACUUGGUGUACAUGUUUUUAAAGUUGUUACUUGCUUUCUCUCCAACUUGCCUUUCAGUAAAGCAGCUCUCGGGUUACUACUCAUAUCACUUAUCCAGCCCAAGCUGAAAGUCUGAACAAGCAAAUCACAGACAGGACCUUGCUUUCUUCACUGCACAAAUGACAAAAAGCAUGUUUACAGAAACCAAGCUCGCAUUUAUCUCUGUGAUAAUCUGUCGUAAAGUAAUAAACAUUUCAUCUAAUCUCAUGAUACCAUUCUGCUAGACUAGACAGGUUGUCUCUUCUACGCUUUUGUCUUUAUGGCAUCAGCGUUCAGCCAGGUAGCAAUCCCUUUAGCUUAUUAAAUAUUAACAGAUGUAAAAAAAUAGUUCAGCUUCUUGGGGACUGUCGUGGUUGCGGGGGAAGGUGAAUUUUUCCAGGGGGAUGUAGGCAGGCCAAUCAGUGAUGGGCAAGCCAAUCAGUGAUCAGCUUUUCUGCUGGCACUUGGAUUGGUCACUCGGAGGUUUGGACACGCCUCUGAGGACACAAAGCGUUAAAAGCAGGACUCCGGGGGGGGUCGGUUUCUUUUGGGUUCCGGUUUCAGCAGGGAAACAUCUCCUCUCCCCUGCUCAGCUCUGGCCUGAGUGGGGGAGGGGAGCGACGUGGCUGGGCUCAGGAAAACCACGCAGUGGAACUAAAAAAGAAACUUUUCUUAUACAUUGCUUCUCAUGACUGGUGGUUUCGGAGGAGAAAGGGAAGCGGCCUGGGACCGAGAUGAUAAAGCACAAUUGGAAGGAACCUGACGGGCAAAGAAUGAGAGGAGUAGCUUUCUGAGCUGGACUUUUCUUGCAUAAUGUUAGCCAUGGACUGAACUUAAGUCUCUUUUGAACAUAAACUGCAUUUUGGGUGGAUACAGCUGCCCCUGCUUUUGCUACAGUGACUGGCAUUUGAAGAGUGGAGUGAGCAGAGAAGAGAGGGGGAGGGUGUGGUGGCGCCCUCUGCCCUCAGGGGAGACCUGCUCUCAGAACCUCGGCCCCUGGGGAAAAAGGGGAGAGCUCGAGGGGUGGACCCGUGUUUUCUGAGGAACAGGCUGUGGUGCGAGAGAGACUCCUCUCUCCCUUGCUGAAUUGAAGAUUGGGUUUUUUUGGUUGGUUUUUUUUUGUGGGGUUUUUUUUUUGUUUUUUUUUUUUUUUUGAGUGGUGAUUGUUUGAUUUAAAACCCAAAGGUUUGGUCUAUGGAGAGUAAUGUGUGGGGGGUGGAAACUGAGAGAAGAGAAGAAAUGUUCUGAGAAGUUUUUAUUUCUGUCUCUGUGUGUGUUUAAGAGUUUUCUGCCUCUGUUCUUAUGUAAUGUAAUAAAGUUUUGGGUUUUUUUGUUUUCAA